RNAcentral lists this long non-coding RNA (226 nucleotides) under Salvia miltiorrhiza (redroot sage). RNAcentral describes it as "long non-coding RNA (SMIL_LNC003688)". The record is from RNAcentral. Lineage: Eukaryota; Viridiplantae; Streptophyta; Magnoliopsida; Lamiales; Lamiaceae.
UGAAUAUUCAUAGUGGGUUGUGAAAAAGAAGGGAUGAUUUUGUGUUACUAUUUACUCUUAUAAGCUCUAGAAAAGUUGUGGAAAGAAAAUGAAAAAAAAAAUUGUUCAAGAAAAAGAAAAAGAAAAAAAAGAAAAAAAAAAAGAGAGAAAAAGAAAAGAAAAGUGUGAAGUCGAGUGUAUAUUGAGAAAUUUGUUAGAAAAUCGACUUUGUUUGUUGGAAAUAAAU